CGCCUCGUUCCUCAUGGAUAAAACCCCCAAAAUCCCUGUAGAUCUCCAGCUUUUGACACCUGGUUCCUCACGGACAAGAUCCCAAAAAUCCCUGUAAAUCUCCCCACCUUUAGAUGCCUCGUUCCUCACAGACAAAACCCCCAAAAUCCCUGGUUAAUCUCCACCUUUAAACUCCUCAAUUCCUCACGAACAAAACCCCAAAAUUCCCUGGUUAAUCUCCACCUUCAGAUGCCAGGUUCCUCAUGGACAAAACCCCAAAAUUCCCUGGUAAAUCUCUACCUUUAGACGCCUGGUUCCUCACGGACAAAACCCCAAAAUUCCCUUGUUCAUCUCCCCCUUCACACACCUCAUCCCUCCCAGACAAAAACCCCUAAAUCCCUGCAGAUCUCCACCUUCAGCCUCCUGUUUCCUCACCCGACGGCUCAUCCCCUACAAAACCAACCCCAGAAAAGCCACGGGGAACUUUUGGGGUGGGCAGCUGGAUAUGGUGAAGGUCUGCACCCUGCUGAAGUAAGCUUCUUUGCUCGUCGACUCCGAGGGGGGGGCAUCGGGCUGCGGAGACCCGUUAGCGGCUUGGGGCCCGGCCGCCGCGUCCUUCCUAAAGGGGACAGCGAGAAAAACGUCCUCACCCCCCCAAAAAAACCUUCUGCCGCCUCGUCCUCGCCACCGGCCCUUCUUCAGAAGCCCACGAGCCCCCCCCGGACCGGGGGGGGCUCGGGGGCUUCUGAAGAAGGGCCGGUGGCGAGGACGACCCCCCCGUGAGCCCCUUUUGGGCCCCCGCGGACGUCUUCUCCUCUCCCCCCCACGCGCCGGACGCCCCCUCCAGCACCCCCUAAACCCCCCCUCUACCCCCUCAAAUGCCCCCCAAUCCUCCACAGCACCCCCUAAAACCCCCCCUCAGCACCCUUCAAACCCCCUCUCAUCACCCCUAAACGCCCCCAUCGCCCCCCCAAACCCCCCAACGCCACUCAGUGCCCCCUAAACCCCCUCUCAGCACCCCCCAACCCCC
RNAcentral lists this long non-coding RNA (1009 nucleotides) under Anas platyrhynchos platyrhynchos (common mallard). RNAcentral's name for it is "lncRNA (ENSAPLG00000017481.1)". The record is from RNAcentral. Lineage: Eukaryota; Metazoa; Chordata; Aves; Anseriformes; Anatidae.